This 188-nucleotide ribosomal RNA is filed under the name uncultured bacterium. RNAcentral describes it as "partial 16S ribosomal RNA". It matches the Rfam family "Bacterial small subunit ribosomal RNA", at positions 338 to 524 of the family's 1533-position model. The record is from RNAcentral.
CCUACGGGAGGCGGCAGUGAGGAAUAUUGGUCAAUGGGCGUAAGCCUGAACCAGCCAUCCCGCGUGCAGGAAGAAGGCGCUAUGCGUCGUAAACUGCUUUUCCAGGGGAAGAAAACCUGAUACGAGUAUCGGCUUGCCGGUACCCUGGAAUAAGCAUCGGCUAGCUCCGUGCCAGCAGCCGCGGUAAU